GGACCCACUUGGAAAGCGUGGGCGCACAUGAAUAUAUGGGAAUCGGGCGAAAUUCUAGUUUUUUGGCCGUAAAAUGCAAAACAACGAGGAAUGGCCAUGGCGGGGCGGUGGUUAUGGUUGCUUAGGUCAUAUUUAAUGACCCGUAAUAAAUUUAGGCGAUCGGGGUCCGGAGGCCCAGACACACUCGGAAGGCGUGGGCUAUAACAUGCGAAAAUAUGGCAAUCGGGCGAAAUUCUAGUUUUUUGGCCGUAUAAAGCAAAACAACGAGGAACGGUCUUUGCGGGAUGGUGACUAUGGUUCCUUAUGUCUUAUUUGAUGGCCCAAAUAAAUUAUAGGCGAUCGGGGUCCGGGGGGCCCGGACCCACUCGGAAGGAGUGGGCUAUAGCACGCAAAAAUAUGGGAAUCCGGCGAAAUUCUAAUUUUUUGUCCAUAAAACACAAAACAACGAGGAAAGGCUAUGGCGGGGCGGUGACUAUGGUUCCUUAGGUCGUAUUUGAUGGCCCGAAAUAAUUUUAGGCGAUCGGUGUCCAGGGGCCCGGACCCACUCGGAAGGGGUGGGCUAUAACACAUGAAAAUAUGGGAAUCGGGCGAGAAUCUAGUUUUUUGUUCGUAAAACGCAAAACAACGAGGAACGCCGGUGGCAGGGCAGUGACUAUGGUUCCUUAGG
This 667-nucleotide long non-coding RNA is filed under the name Nicotiana tabacum (common tobacco). Its description in RNAcentral is "long non-coding RNA (NTAB_LNC015792)". The record is from RNAcentral. Lineage: Eukaryota; Viridiplantae; Streptophyta; Magnoliopsida; Solanales; Solanaceae.